UGGUGAGUAGUUUAAUGGUAAAACAAUAGUCUCCAAAACUAUAAGAUAGAGGUUCGAGUCCUCUCUCAUCUGCUAA
This 76-nucleotide transfer RNA is filed under the name Crassvirales sp. RNAcentral describes it as "tRNA-Trp". It matches the Rfam family "tRNA". Rfam says of the family: Transfer RNA (tRNA) molecules are approximately 80 nucleotides in length. Their secondary structure includes four short double-helical elements and three loops (D, anti-codon, and T loops). Lineage: Duplodnaviria; Heunggongvirae; Uroviricota; Caudoviricetes; Crassvirales. The record is from RNAcentral.